GCCUGACGGUGCAUCGCCGCGUGAACGAAGAAGGUUUUCGGAUCGUAAAGUUCUGUUGUGAGGGAAGAACACGUGCCGGUCGAACAGGCCGGCACCUUGACGGUACCUCACGAGAAAGCCCCGGCUAACUACGUGCCAGCAGCCGCGGUAAUACGUAGGGGGCAAGCGUUGUCCGGAAUUAUUGGGCGUAAAGCGCACGCAGGCGGUCUCGUAAGUCUGAUGUGAAAGCCCACGGCUCAACCGUGGAGGGUCAUUGGAAACUGGGAGACUUGAGUGUAGGAGAGGAAAGUGGAAUUCCACGUGUAGCGGUGAAAUGCGUAGAUAUGUGGAGGAACACCAGUGGCGAAGGCGACUUUCUGGCCUACAACUGACGCUGAGGUGCGAAAGCGUGGGGAGCAAACAGGAUUAGAUACCCUGGUAGUCCACGCCGUAAACGUUGAGUGCUAGGUGUUAGGGGUUUCGAUGCCCUUAGUGCCGAAGUUAACACAUUAAGCACUCCGCCUGGGGAGUACGGCCGCAAGGCUGAAACUCAAAGGAAUUGACGGGGGCCCGCACAAGCAGUGGAGCAUGUGGUUUAAUUCGACGCAACGCGAAGAACCUUACCAGGUCUUGACAUCCUUUGCCCGCUCUGGAGACAGAGUUUUCCCCUUCGGGGGACAAAGUGACAGGUGGUGCAUGGUUGUCGUCAGCUCGUGUCGUGAGAUGUUGGGUUAAGUCCCGCAACGAGCGCAACCCUUGACCUUAGUUGCCAGCAUUCAGUUGGGCACUCUAGGGUGACUGCCGGUGACAAACCGGAGGAAGGUGGGGACGACGUCAAAUCAUCAUGCCCCUUAUGACCUGGGCUACACACGUGCUACAAUGGAUGGUACAAAGGGUGGCGAACCCGCGAGGUGGAGCGAAUCC
RNAcentral lists this ribosomal RNA (903 nucleotides) under Alkalicoccus sp. Its description in RNAcentral is "bacterial SSU rRNA". It matches the Rfam family "Bacterial small subunit ribosomal RNA", at positions 381 to 1274 of the family's 1533-position model. Lineage: Bacteria; Bacillati; Bacillota; Bacilli; Caryophanales; Bacillaceae. The record is from RNAcentral.